GAUGAACGCUGGCGGCGCGCCUAACACAUGCAAGUCGAACGGCACCCCACCUCGGUGGGAAGCGAGUGGCGAACGGCUGAGUAACACGUGGAGAACCCGCCCCCUCCUCCGGGAUAGCCUCGGGAAACCGUGGGUAAUACCGGAUGACGCCCGGACGACGCAUGUCGCCCGGGCCAAAGCCCAGACGGGAGGGGAUGGCUCCGCGGCCCAUCAGGUAGACGGCGGGGUGAAGGCCCACCGUGCCGACGACGGGUAGCCGGGUUGAGAGACCGACCGGCCAGAUUGGGACUGAGACACGGCCCAGACUCCUACGGGAGGCAGCAGUGGGGAAUCUUGCGCAAUGGGGGGAACCCUGACGCAGCGACGCCGCGUGCGGGACGAAGGCCCUAGGGUCGUAAACCGCUUUCAGCAGGGAUGAGACAAGACGGUACCUGCAGWAKAGCCCCGAAAUMYC
Molecule: ribosomal RNA, 454 nt
Filed under: uncultured bacterium
Lineage: Bacteria
Description: bacterial SSU rRNA
Rfam family: Bacterial small subunit ribosomal RNA
Source: RNAcentral